This 496-nucleotide ribosomal RNA is filed under the name uncultured bacterium. Its description in RNAcentral is "partial 16S ribosomal RNA". It matches the Rfam family "Bacterial small subunit ribosomal RNA", at positions 28 to 506 of the family's 1533-position model. The record is from RNAcentral.
GAUGAACGCUGGCGGCGUGCCUAAUACAUGCAAGUCGAGCGAACAGACGAGGAGCUUGCUCCUCUGACGUUAGCGGCGGACGGGUGAGUAACACGUGGAUAACCUACCUAUAAGACUGGGAUAACUUCGGGAAACCGGAGCUAAUACCGGAUAAUAUAUUGAACCGCAUGGUUCAAUAGUGAAAGACGGUUUUGCUGUCACUUAUAGCUGGUCCCGCGCCGCCUUAGCUAGUUGGUAAGGUAACGGCUUACCAAGGCGACGAUGCGUAGCCGACCUGAGAGGGGGAUCGGCCACACUGAAACUGAGACACGGUCCAGACUCCAACGGGAGGCAGCGGGAGGAAAUCUGGCGCAAGGGGCGAAAGCCUGUCGAGGCAACGCGGCGGGAGUGAGGAAGGUCUUCGGUUCGUAAAACGCUGUUAUUAGGAAAGAACAAAUGUGUAAGUAACCAUGCACGUCUGGACGGAACCAAAGCAGAAAGCCCGGGCUAACUAGGG